Herpailurus yagouaroundi (jaguarundi) is the source of this 149-nucleotide long non-coding RNA. RefSeq lists it as uncharacterized. The transcript is spliced from 3 exons. NCBI's taxonomy places the organism in Eukaryota, Metazoa, Chordata, Mammalia, Carnivora, Felidae. The record is from RefSeq and is a predicted model, not a curated record.
GUGUCAAGUAAGAAAUUGCUGUGUCUGAGGUCAGAGAGGUUUUUUCCUGCUUUCCCCUCUAGGGUUUUGAUGGUUCCCUCUCUCAAUUUCAGGUCCUUUAUCCUGUUGACUUUAUUUUUGUAAAUUUAGAUGAGGAAGUUCUUUAAUUU